Alphaproteobacteria bacterium 65-37 is the source of this 73-nucleotide non-coding RNA. The record is from Rfam. NCBI's taxonomy places the organism in Bacteria, Pseudomonadati, Pseudomonadota, Alphaproteobacteria.
GGGCGCAUAGCUCAGUUGGUAGAGCAGCUGACUCUUAAUCAGCGGGUCCCAGGUUCGAGCCCUGGUGCGCCCA